GGAAGUGCAAGGCUCACUGGUGGGGCCCCCGGACUUCAAAUCCGGUGUAUCGUCGCGAGGCGAUGGGUGGGUUCGAUUCCCAUGCACUUCC
Molecule: transfer RNA, 91 nt
Filed under: Desulfobacca acetoxidans DSM 11109
Lineage: Bacteria; Pseudomonadati; Thermodesulfobacteriota; Desulfobaccia; Desulfobaccales; Desulfobaccaceae
Also listed under: 1 other name
Description: Selenocysteine transfer RNA
Rfam family: Selenocysteine transfer RNA
Source: Rfam by way of RNAcentral